This 440-nucleotide ribosomal RNA is filed under the name uncultured bacterium. Its description in RNAcentral is "partial 16S ribosomal RNA". It matches the Rfam family "Bacterial small subunit ribosomal RNA", at positions 338 to 795 of the family's 1533-position model. The record is from RNAcentral.
CCUACGGGAGGCAGCAGUGGGGAAUAUUGCACAAUGGGGGAAACGCUGAUGCAGCGACGCCGCGUGAGUGAAGAAGUAGUUCGUUAUGUAAAGCUCUAUCAGCAGGGAAGAAAAUGACGGUACCUGAGUAAGAAGCCCCGGCUAACUACGUGCCGGCAGCCGCGGUAAUACGUAGGGGGCAGGCGUUAUCCGGAUUUACUGGGUGUAAAGGGAGCGUAGACGGCAGUGCAAGUCUGGAGUGAAAGGCGGGGGCUCAACCCCCGGACUGCUCUGGAAACUGUACGGCUUGAGUGCAGGAGAGGUAAGUGGAAUUCCCAGUGUAGCGGUGAAAUGCGUAGAUAUUAGGAGGAACACCAGUGGCGAAGGCGGCUUACUGGACUGUAACUGACGUUGAGGCUCGAAAGCGUGGGGAGCAAACAGGAUUAGAUACCCCUGUAGUC